AUCCACUCCUUUUUCCAUUUGCAAGAGACGUACUCUUUUUAUUCUUUUCAUCUCUCUCUCUCUCUCUCUCUUUCUCUCUCUCUCUCUCUCUCUCUCUCUCUAAACCAAAACUCAUGCUUUUUCACCUCAAUUUAUUCUUUAGAUCUAAUAACAUUUUUUUUUUCAAAUACCAUGAUUGUAUCAACAAAAUCUCAACAAAACGGUGUCGAGGUGGUCAGUGGUUUCGGUUCAAAUGACGGCGUUCAAGCCGGUUCGAGUGGUGGAGGUGACGGUGGUUGUGGUUGACACUUGGUUCACAUGGUGGCUUGGUUCCAUGGCUACAUAUGAACAUCAAAAUAUCAUCAUCCAGAUGCUCCGAACCAAAAAGAUGCUCCGAAUCAAAAGAUGAUCCAGAUCUAAAAGAUGAUGCUUCAGAUGACGGUUGAAAAUGUUCCAGAUGCUCCGGUUGAAGAUGCUCCGAAAAGAUGCUACCAGAUCCAAAAGAUGCUCCAGAUCCGGUUGAAUAUGUUCAAUGUUGAAGAUGAUGUUUCAGAUGACGGUUCGAUGUUGAAGAUGAUCUAAAAGGUGUUCGAUUGUUGAACAUGAUGUUCCAAUUCUAAAAGAUCCUCCAGAUCCAUAAGGUUAUGCAACUGAUCUGGAUACAUUUUGGUUCAAUAAUAAUUGUGCGACGAAGAUGUAAUGGAUCUAGAUUUGUAGAAGUGAUAGUUACAAAUGGAACAUUUUUUUUUUUGCAAUUAGAUGUAUUUUUUUUAUCAGUAAUACAUUACAUUUUUCGUAGUUACAUUCUUUUUUUUUAUUAGUAAAGUGUAACAGUUUUUAUUUGUAAAAGUGUAACAAUUUUUUUUA
This is a long non-coding RNA of Helianthus annuus (common sunflower), 846 nucleotides long. RefSeq lists it as uncharacterized. The record is from RefSeq and is a predicted model, not a curated record. NCBI's taxonomy places the organism in Eukaryota, Viridiplantae, Streptophyta, Magnoliopsida, Asterales, Asteraceae. The transcript is spliced from 2 exons.